AAUUUGAUUCAACGGCUAACGUUAUUAUAACUUUUAAAUGGGGUUUUUGUUUUUAAUCGUUAGAUCAAAUUUCAAGGAUCUGAAUUGAUGGAUUUAGUAAAAGGGAUCCGGAGAGGAUCCCUUUCCGCUGGUGGAAUCCUUAAUUUGCUCUCAUUUACCCAUUAAUUUAGUACUUUUAUGCCAAAAUAAACUAAUUAGAAUCUUAUAGGAAAUGUUUGCAUUAUUGAGCAAAAACUCUGCCCAAAAUUUCGUAGUUUAUGGUAUUUCUCUCUUUUUUUUUUCCUUUUUUUUUCCAAACAUAAGCUAUGGUGAUAAUUUAUUGAUACGAAACACGAUUGCCAAAAGGAUGCCAAUUAAAUACAUAUUUUUCAGUGGCCAAAUUUUUGAUUUGGAAAGAAUAAGCGUGCAUUAAGCAACUUUAAGUAAUCCUUUAUAUGGCAUCCACAAUGAACAAGGAAACGCAUAAGAACCAUGGGUAUUGUAUGUAAGACAUAUUCUAAAAUCACAACAAGGAGGUAUUAGGAUCACGAAUAAAUCAAAUCAAUAUAAAAUAGAGAUUAACUAAUUAUAUUAAACUUAUCUGUGGAAUACGGAAGACAUUGCAGAUUUUUAGGUUGUCUUCUACUUCCAGUAUUUCAAUAAUCUCUCUCUACUAUAUGAAUAGGGUUCAGCGUAUCUGAGAGAUUAAGUGUAUGGAAGUAGGGACUUAACUAUAGUAUUUAUAUCAUUAGGGUUUAAUCAUAGCCAGCCUAUUAUUGGUUGUGAAAGUCAAACCCUAUCACUUAAGUGUUUAAGUCCCACCAUGAUACUAUAUCUUUGUAGUGAAAUCCAUCAGAUUUCUUUAGGUCAAUUGCAAUGGAUAAGACUCCAUAAUCCUUAUUUCAUUAGGAUUAUUAGAUUACUUAAGUUGUUAACAACACAAUAAACAAGUGGCCUACAACAUAAGUAAUCCAAUACAUCAUUCAUUGUCAUUCACAACCUUACAUUCUCCCACUUGAAUGUCAAUGAUUUAUCCUAACAAAUAAGAACUCAUGGUGAUCACUAAGUCUUCAUAAGUAUGCAACAACCUUUCCUAGCAACCUGUCACUUUGAAUCGAAUGCAGAACCAAAGAAACAAAGAACAACUUUGUAUGUUCCUUGCACUCCAAGAUCACAUCAACAUUCAACUUAAAGCACUUUGUUGCUAACAAAGUCAUGGUGUCAAGAGCUAAUAGUCAAACAUUAGCUCACAAUAGUCGAACUGAAAAUAUGAAAAUAUAUUUCAGUACAAAAGUAGUUCACAAAAGAACUCAACAACGUUGGUAACAACAUCCAACUUUUCUGUCAAUUUAGAAUAUGAUAAGAGAACAAGUAAAAUACGACAUACUAUUUACAAAAUCAGGAUCUCUUAUUAAAACUUAUGAACAAAACUUAAACAAAAAGCUCUUAAAAUAUCAGCCACUAACACUUCAAAAUUUUAACACAAAAGGUAAUCUCUUACUCCCACUGAUUAAAAGAGACAAAAUUAUAUAAAUUAUUAUUACUCCCACUGAUUAAGAGAGUAAAGAAAAACUUUGUAAAGGUCUACAGAAUGAAACAAAUACCUUUCAAAUACUCACAUUAGCAAAACAUUAGCCAUGGGAUCUAAAACAUAAAAUUUGUGAGCUCAACAUCUUUAUUCUAGAUAUUUGUAGGGAAGUGAUUCUUGUGACUGAAAAACUAUACAAAAUCAUUUUGUCAGUUUUGUUCAUCUAACAGUUGACAGAAAUAGAAAACUUUAACUAAAUGUUUUCUUACUGCAUCAAAAACAUAUAAUUCUAGAAUCAUCUUUAGACAGAAACUAAUUAUAUUAGGUUUGCAUAGCUAAAACAUAAAAUACAAGGGCAAACGUAUAUAGCUUCAACACUUUUGAGCAUAUGAAGUAUAUGCAAUCUUGUCAAUUUCAUGUUUCAAUAUACAUUGAUUUAUAGUUGUACUGAAUAAGAAAACACUUUUGAGCAGAUUAAUUAUUUAUCAAUAACAUAUAAAUCACAAGUCCAAUUUCUUGAACCACAAACAAAAAUUAAUAAGCAAAACACUUUUGAGCAGAAUAUAUUCAUUAACCCUUCUUGAAUUUCCUACAAGAUUAGUUGCAUAUAUAAAAUAUAAACUAGUAUGGUAAUGUACGUUUUAUCUACCAAAACUAUGACCAUUAAAAGCAUGCAAAAUUGAUGAGUGUGAAGCUCAUAAUACAUUAUUUCUCCCACUUGGGCAAGCACUCAAAAUUGCUAUUUUAAACACUAGAGAAAGUGGUUUUCAUAUAACAAAAUAUAGGCUAGUUGAAUCAAUAAAGAUAGUGUACACAAUCCAUUAUAUAAUAUAACAUGGCAAAUUUUUACAAAGUUUGAAGUUAGAAAAAUCUAUCAAAAUUGUAAUCAAAUAGGACACGUUGCAAGGUAUGCAAAACUCCAUUAGUAUUUCCCAAGCUCCACCAAAAUUUCAGAUUUAAUCAUAAUUUAAAUAAAACCAAUUUACAAUCUUUAAUAUGCUCAAAACAUGAAAAUUUCUUAAAUAAAUUUACUGAGUCACAAAAUAGUUGAUUUGGACAUAAUAAACCAAUCUAUAUGUAUCAAAAUUAGGAUUAUAUAAGGAACAAUAUCUCAACAUCAUUAAUCGAUAAAAGUGACAAGUGAUUAGAUAAACCAAUAGCUACAAAAUUUAUUUUAGUGUAUGAGAGAAGACACAUAUGUGUUAAAGAUUAGGUCAUAAAUUAAAAUGACCCCUUAUAAGAGAAUCCAAACUUAAAAUUUAUGUUUUAAUUCUAAAACAAAGUCGAUUAAAGUAAACACAUAGAUAUCUCAACAACAUCAAAUUUUCAACAAUAAUUUUAAUCCAAUUUAGAACUCACAGAAAAUUAAGGAAAAAGAUUGACAAAUUUACCUACUCAUUCUCGAUUCUGAAAGAUUCAUCAUGGAAGUAGUCGAGUUGUGGAGGAUCGAACCAACUCCAAAUUGCAUGAUUGUUACACCUUUGGGCAGAAACUAAUCAUGCAAAGAAAAUACCUACAUAGCUAGCCAAAACAUAAAAUACACAACAUACAUAUAGCUUCAACAACUUUGGCCAUAUGAAAAUAUGUUAGAAGUACUUUAUGAUUUUCUAUAAUACUAAUUUAUAAUUGGUGAGCGAUUUCCUGAAAUUCCCAUUGGGACAAAAGUAUUUACCAUAUAAAUUAGAAUUCUGAUUUUUCAAAAUAAUCCUUUAGAACAGUAUUAAAUAACCGUUUUGUUGGAUAUUCAAUGAUUAUCAAAAGAUUCAAUCAGACACAAAAAUAUGUCGUUGUUGACAUUGAACAAUGGAGUUCUCGAAAGAUGAAACAUGGUUAUUCAGUUAUUCGAUAGGGACCAAAAUGAUUAAUUAGUAAAUUGAUGCCACUUUCCAAUUUUCUCUCAAAAGACAAUUAUCAUCAUAAUCAGAAUUGAUGACCAAACAAAACAUUGGUUUAAGCAAAACAAACCAAUACAUCUUUAAAUCAAAAUUUAAUUAGUGUUGUCUAUAAAAUUCAUUAGUAAUGAUAAUUUGCAUAAAAUAAGGACAUAUUGAAACCAUAAACUUGUAUAGUAAUUGGUAUCAAUAGACGUACACAAAUCAGUGAAACAAUAUCACAUAACAAAACCAGUAUUGAAGUACCAAAAUUCAGCAGUACUACUUUAGUUUGCAAAUUUACUAAAAACUCAAUUCUCUUUAGAUUGUCAUGAAAAUUUUUAGGUAUGCACUAGACAUAUAUGGCUACUAUUUCGCAAAAUUUCAUGAUUUUUUAAAAUUUUAAGUGAGCCAAAAAUGAGUUCGAAAAGAGAGGUGCUGCAGAAACUGCAGAAAAUGUUCAGUAUAGACCUGAGAUUACAAAUUCACCAAAUAUUCAUUGUUCAUCCGAUAUGCAUGAAAAUUUUCAGACAUAAAGAAAACAUACAACACUGUUAAUUCCCAAAAUUUCAUAAUUUUUGAGAUUUUACAAGUAUACUAAAAACAAAAUCGAAAUAAGUUGUGCUGCUGAAACAACAGAAAUUCUGCAAAACAUACCCGAGACUAAAUAAUUCACCAAAACUUCAAUCUUCUUCCAAUGUGCAUGAAAAUUUCCAGAAAUAAAGUAGACAUAUAAAUUUACUGUCACUCAAAACUUCAUAAUUUGUUCGAUUUUACAAGUGGGCUAAAAAUAAAAUCUAAAUGGAAUGUCCUGCAGAAACCGCAUAAAUUAUGCAGUACAGUCUUGAGAUUAACAAUUCACCAAAACUUCUUUUUCAAACCAAUGCUCGUGAAAAUUUUUAUAUUUAAAACAAACAUCUCAAUGUAUAUCAUACUAAAAUUUAAUGAAUUUAUGAGUUACAUAGAUAAAUCAAAAUAAUAUCACAAACAGACUAUUCUGCAGAAGUCUACAGAAUUCCAGCAACAUGGUAUCACACUUAAAAUUUUACCAUAAAUCCAUUUCUGGUCCAAAAACAGUGAAAAAUAACCCGCAUCUAAAAUCCAUUUAAUAUUACAACAUGAUCGAAUUUCAUAAAAUUUGAAGUUAGGGAAGUCUAUCACAGGUUAGUGACGACUGCAUGGUUUUCCUUUUUAUGUGAGUUUCUUACCUUUUUCCACAUAUCACAUUUUUAAUUGUAUAGAAAUAUGCACUUAUACCAAACAAGAGUCUGCAAAAGAUUUACUACACCAUUGAAGAAACUCUCCAAAAUCUCAAUUAAGAAUCAAUAGCCCAGAACUACUCAUAUAAAUGAGGUAUAUGAAUUUCAAAUUUGUCAAAAUAACUAAAGUCCAUCAAUAUCGCAAGAUUUAUGGUUUGAAAAUAAUCUAAUUCUUUGAAAGCCCCAAUAAAAGUUUCAUUUUAACAGAUUUAAUUAAUCAUGAAAUCAAUAAACAAUAUAAUUAAAAAAACACAAUAAACCUAAAGCCCUGAUGUAAUCCUUCUCUGCAGCACAAUAAUAAUUUUCUGGAAAAAGAAGACAACCCUAUAUACUCAAGAAAACUCCAUAUACUACCGAAAGGAAGAAAAAAGACAAUUAGCCGGUGACUAAUUAUGAACUCCAAAUUCACCAUGUAGUUAAAUUAUUUCCCUUUUAUUUUUCAUGCCCAAUUUCAAUUUAUUUGGACCUAAAUCCCUAAACAAAAAAUGCAGACUCAGUGAUACAAAAUUGCGGAAGCAUCUUUUAUGAAGUCUCACAGGAUCGAUUAGUCAAAAUAGCCAACCAAAUGAGAAACACAAAUUAUGCUUCACUUGUGUCAAUCAUCUACAGUUAAUCAAAUUACCUGUGAAUCGAACCCUAAGCUUGUUGUGUGGCUCUGAUACCACAUGUAAGACAUAUUCUGAAAUCACAACAACAAGACAUUAAGAUCACGAAUAAAUCAAAUCAAUAUAAAAUAGAGAUUAACUAAUUAUAUUAAAUUUAUCUGUGGAAUACGGAAGACAUUGCAGAUUUCUAGGUUGUCUUCUACUUCCAGUACUUCAAUAAUAUCUCUCUGCUAUAUGAAUAUGGUUCAGCGUAUCUAAGAGAUUAAGCGUAUGGAAGCAGGGACUUAACUAUAGUAUUUAUAUCAUUAGGGUUUAAUCACAGCCAGCCUAUUAUUGGUUGUGAAAGUCAAACCCUAUCACUUAAGUGUUUAAGUCCCACCAUGAUACUAUAUCUUUGUAGUGAAAUCCAUCAGAUUUCUUUAGGUCAAUUGCAAAGGAUAAGACUCCAUAAUCCUUAUUUCAUUAGGACUAUCAGAUUUCUUAAGUUGUUAACAACUCAAUAAACAAGUGGCCUACAACAUAAGUAAUCCAAUACAUCAUUCAUUGUCAUUCACAACCUUACAUUGUAUUGAUAUGACACAAUGGAUCAUUGGUUGCAUAUCUAAAACCUAGGAACACAAAAAGCCAUCGCUAAGAAGCAAGGCCACACAAAUUGCUAGGCAGCACAAACAUACAUAAAACACAACUUAGCUAAGAAGGAAACGACCGUUGGCUCAUCUCCAUGGUGGAAAAAAGGCACAGUCAUCCAAGCCAUCUGCGGCAUCACUGUUGGCUCAUCUAGUUUAUGGUAUUUCUCUUCUUAAUAUCGAAAGAAGUAAAGCGUUCUUUUGAACUUGCACACUUAAUGGUAAUGAUUGUAAUGUAGAAUAAGAACAAACAAAACUAUUAAAAGAAUGGUCACUGUAUAGCUUGUAGAGGUAUCAAACUAUUUUCACUUGUAAGUUUGAAGUUUUAGCUUUGACUCAAAUGCAUAACGAGUUUGAUAACUAUCAUGACUGACUCAUUGUAUAGCUUGUAGGGGUAGCAUCAAAUUGAUCGAUUCAAACUGUUUUGGGCAGUUUGAUUUGGUUUUGAUCAAGAAUAAAAUAAAGUACAAUUUAAAAAUCAAACCCAACCAAACAAAACCACAUAAGUGUCAACAUAUUAUAAUUGUAAUGACUAUUAAAAAUUCGUAUAUUUGUUUGUAAUUUAUGCUUAUGUGAGUUUGUAACUAAUAAGUCAUUUGCUACCGUUAGAUUUUAGUUAAUUGAAUCUUAGUCUUAGUGUUUAAAAAAAAAGUCCCGAGG
Molecule: long non-coding RNA, 6528 nt
Filed under: Malus domestica (apple)
Lineage: Eukaryota; Viridiplantae; Streptophyta; Magnoliopsida; Rosales; Rosaceae
Description: long non-coding RNA (MDOM_LNC002684)
Source: RNAcentral